This 501-nucleotide ribosomal RNA is filed under the name uncultured bacterium. Its description in RNAcentral is "partial 16S ribosomal RNA". It matches the Rfam family "Bacterial small subunit ribosomal RNA", at positions 30 to 523 of the family's 1533-position model. The record is from RNAcentral.
AUUGAACGCUGGCGGCAGGCUUAACACAUGCAAGUCGAGCGGAGAUGAGGUGCUUGCACCUUAUCUUAGCGGCGGACGGGUGAGUAAUGCUUAGGAAUCUGCCUAUUAGUGGGGGACAACAUCUCGAACGGGAUGCUAAUACCGCAUACGUCCUACGGGAGAAAGCAGGGGAUCUUCGGACCUUGCGCUAAUAGAUGAGCCUAAGUCGGAUUAGCUAGUUGGUGGGGUAAAGGCCUACCAAGGCGCCGAUCUGUAGCGGGUCUGAGAGGAUGAUCCACCACACUGGGACUGAGCCACGGCCCAGACUCCUACGGGAGGCAGCAGUGGGGAAUAUUGGACAAUGGGGGGAACCCUGAUCCAGCCAUGCCGCGUGUGUGAAGAAGGCCUUAUGGUCGUAAAGCACUUUAAGCGAGGAGGAGGCUACUUUAGUUAAUACCUAGAGAUAGUGGACGUUACUCGCAGAAUAAGCACCGGCUAACUCUGUGCCAGCCGCCGCAGUAA